GAGAACACCUUUAUUUAACCAGGUAGGCUAGUUUAGAACACCUUUAUUUAACCAGGUAGGCUAGUUGAGAACACCUUUAUUUAACCAGGUAGGCCAGUUGAGAACACCUUUAUUUAACCAGGUAGGCUAGUUGAGAACACCUUUAUUUAACCAGGUAGGCUAGUUGAGAACACCUUUAUUAACCAGGUAGGCUAGUUGAGAACACCUGUAUUUAACCAGGUAGGCUAGUUGAGAACACCUUUAUUUAGCCAGG
This is a long non-coding RNA of Oncorhynchus tshawytscha (Chinook salmon), 253 nucleotides long. Lineage: Eukaryota; Metazoa; Chordata; Actinopteri; Salmoniformes; Salmonidae. The record is from Ensembl.